This is a long non-coding RNA of Aquila chrysaetos chrysaetos, 318 nucleotides long. RefSeq lists it as uncharacterized. Lineage: Eukaryota; Metazoa; Chordata; Aves; Accipitriformes; Accipitridae. The record is from RefSeq and is a predicted model, not a curated record. The transcript has 3 exons.
AGAUUAGAUUUCUACCUUUCAGGCAGCUACAAUAGUGAAAAGAUUCCCAACUAUAUGAACCACUGGAAAUGGACUGCUUUCCUUUUUUUUGUACCCCUCUGCUCAAUAAAAGCAAUCGGCUGAGGAUGAUAAUUAGACAAUUGCAACAACGCAGCCAGCAUUAAUACAUUUGUGGAGAUAUGUACCCUCACAAGAUAUUAGGACACAACCAUUCUAUUCAAAGAGGCUACCAUUAGACUUCCUCAUUACAGGCUUUUGCACAGUACGUGAUAUGUGGAGCCUAAAGAGAGGCAAAAAAUAAAAGUGCAUAAUGGGAAA